This 482-nucleotide ribosomal RNA is filed under the name uncultured bacterium. Its description in RNAcentral is "partial 16S ribosomal RNA". It matches the Rfam family "Bacterial small subunit ribosomal RNA", at positions 30 to 507 of the family's 1533-position model. The record is from RNAcentral.
AUUGAACGCUGGCGGCAUGCUUUACACAUGCAAGUCGAACGGUAACAGCACUUCGGUGGCUGACGAGUGGCGAACGGGUGCGUAAUACAUCGGAACGUGCCUAGUAGUGGGGGAUAACUACUCGAAAGAGUAGCUAAUACCGCAUGAGAUCUAAGGAUGAAAGCAGGGGACCUUCGGGCCUUGCGCUACUAGAGCGGCUGAUGGCAGAUUAGGUAGUUGGUGGGAUAAAAGCUUACCAAGCCGACGAUCUGUAGCUGGUCUGAGAGGACGACCAGCCACACUGGGACUGAGACACGGCCCAGACUCCUACGGGAGGCAGCAGUGGGGAAUUUUGGACAAUGGGCGCAAGCCUGAUCCAGCAAUGCCGCGUGCAGGAUGAAGGCCUUCGGGUUGUAAAAUGCUUUUGUACGGAACGAAAAGCCCUCUUCUAAUACAGGAGGGUCAUGACGGUACCGUAAGAAUAAGCACCGGCUAACUACGUG